RNAcentral lists this ribosomal RNA (300 nucleotides) under uncultured Prevotella sp. RNAcentral's name for it is "bacterial SSU rRNA". It matches the Rfam family "Bacterial small subunit ribosomal RNA", at positions 496 to 795 of the family's 1533-position model. Lineage: Bacteria; Pseudomonadati; Bacteroidota; Bacteroidia; Bacteroidales; Prevotellaceae. The record is from RNAcentral.
GCUUACGUGGGGCAGACAGACGGGGUAAUACGGGGUGUGGGGUGGUUAAUCGGAUGUACUGGGCGGAAAGCGUGCGUAGGCGGCGUUUUAAGUCGGAUGUGAAAUCCCUGAGCGUAACGUAGGAAUUGCAUUCGAUACUGGGAAGCUAGAGUAUGGGAGAGGAUGGUAGAAUUCCAGGUGUAGCGGUGAAAUGCGUAGAGAUCUGGAGGAAUACCGAUGGCGAAGGCAGCCAUCUGGCCUAAUACUGACGCUGAGGUACGAAAGCAUGGGGAGCAAACAGGAUUAGAUACCCCGGUAGUC